GACGAACGCUGGCGGCGUGCUUAACACAUGCAAGUCGAACGGAAAGGCCCUGCGUUUGUGGGGUGCUCGAUUGGCGAACGGGUGAGUAACACGUGAGUAACCUGCCCUUGACUUUGGGAUAACUUCAGGAAACUCGGGCUAAUACCGGAUAGGAGCUACUGCUGCACGGGGGGGGUUGGAAAGUUUCGGCGGUUGGGGAUGGACUCGAGGGUUAUCCGCUUGUUGGUGGAGUAGGGGCUUACAACGGCUUUGACGGGUAGCCGGCCUGAGAGGGUGACCGGCCACAUUGGUCCUGAGGUACGGCCCAGUAUCCUACGGGCCGCAGCAGUGGGGAAUAUUGCACAAUGGGCGGAAGCCUGAUGCAGCAACGCCGCGUGCGGGAUGCCGGCCUUCGGGUUGUAAACCGCUUUCGCCGGUGCCGAAGCGUGAGUGACGGUAAUGGGUAAAGAAGCACCGGCUAACUACGUG
RNAcentral lists this ribosomal RNA (468 nucleotides) under uncultured bacterium. RNAcentral describes it as "partial 16S ribosomal RNA". It matches the Rfam family "Bacterial small subunit ribosomal RNA", at positions 28 to 507 of the family's 1533-position model. The record is from RNAcentral.